Molecule: ribosomal RNA, 460 nt
Filed under: uncultured bacterium
Lineage: Bacteria
Description: partial 16S ribosomal RNA
Rfam family: Bacterial small subunit ribosomal RNA
Source: RNAcentral
CCUACGGGUGGCUGCAGUGAGGAAUAUUGGUCAAUGGACGAGAGUCUGAACCAGCCAAGUAGCGUGAAGGAUGACUGCCCUAUGGGUUGUAAACUUCUUUUAUAUGGGAAUAAAAUGUUUCACGUGUGGGAUUUUGUAUGUACCAUAUGAAUAAGGAUCGGCUAACGCCGUGCCAGCAGCCGCGGUAAUACGGAGGAUCCGAGCGUUUUCCGGAUUUAUUGGGUGUAAAGGGAGCGUAGGUGGAUUGUUAAGUCAGUUGUGAAAGUUUGCGGCUCAACCGUAAAAUUGCAGUUGAUACUGGCAGUCUUGAGUACAGUAGGGGUGGGCGGAAUUCGUGGUGUAGCGGUGAAAUGCUUAGAUAUCACGAAGAACUCCGAUUGCGAAGGCAGUUCACUGGACUGCAACUGACACUGAGGCUCGAAAGUGUGGGUAUCAAACAGGAUUAGAUACCCCUGUAGUC